This is a long non-coding RNA of Nymphaea colorata (pocket water lily), 1215 nucleotides long. RefSeq lists it as uncharacterized. The record is from RefSeq and is a predicted model, not a curated record. The transcript has 3 exons. Lineage: Eukaryota; Viridiplantae; Streptophyta; Magnoliopsida; Nymphaeales; Nymphaeaceae.
UCCGCUUGACACUCUCUCUCCUUUCGAGAGCUCCUCUCUCCUAGGGUUCGUUGGUAUCGUCUCUUCGCUCGGACUCAGCUCAUCCCUCCUUCACCGCCACCAGUAUCGGGUUUUCCUCCACCGCCACCAUGCCUCUUUUCUUUUUCCUCCUCCUCUACCGCACAGAAGGCGGGAGCGAGCAACCUGAGGCCAUUAUUUCUCUGUUUUGAGUUUUGGGUUUCGUCCACCAUGGUCCGGCACUUUCGGCCGCAGAGUCUCAUAACCCCAAGCUCUUGCUAUUACCACAAGAAGCUGGAGGAUCUAACAGCGAGGCAGACAGAUGGAGCUCCACUCACAGGCAGCAGAGAAUUCAGAAGCCUCAACAAAUUUGGGUGUCUGGGUCUUUGUGAGAAAGGUCAUCAGCAAAAAAACGGGAACUGAGAUCCACAUGCUAAGGGGUUUCAGUAGCAGUCAACCCCUUCUAUCCAAACUCCCACUUGGUUAUCAUCACACAAAAGGUUCUAAACUGAACGACGUCUGCUACUUAAUCGACAAAGUGGGAGAUAUAGCUCAGAAACAGAAAACAGGGGUUUGUAAAACAAACUUCUUCUUCAGUUGCGACAGAUAGAAGAAGAAGUAUAGCAGCGGAAGGUUUCGGUGAUUCUUCAGCCACGAUUCAACAGCAGCACCUGCGACAAAAUAGAAGAGAAAAAGGAAGAAGCAAGAGUAAAAUUGAUUUUGGGGGUUUGCUUCUGAGAGACGCACAGUUGAUUUCUCAACUUCACAUUUAGAUGAAUAGAGGCUGGGCUAUAUAGACCGCCUCUCAGGGUUUCCCCAAAUCCCAGCUACGGUUAUGGCAUGAAGAUUUAUGUUAUAGAGGGAAAGGGAUCGGGCUCAAGGCCACUACCCAACAGGUAGCUGGAACGUGAAAAAGAUGAUAGUUACAAGUGACAUGGUAUUGGUGGUCCAGCAGGAAGGUUUUUUCUAAAUCACUGGGAUCAUUCACAUUACAUUGAAGAACUGGCUUUAUACCAUGAAUAUUAUUACAAUCACGGCCUGGCCUAUUUAGGGAAAUUGCACAGUGCUGAUUCUUAAUAGUAAUUAAAUAGGAUAAUAUUACGUAGCAUGAUUAGCGAUCUUACUGGAUAGCUGGUGACUCUCUCCUAUGCAACAGAUCUUCAUGACAUAAGGAAAAUAGAAUGCAGAAGCAUUUGAUGCAAUAUGUCAGCAAAUCAG